AAUGAAUAACCCAGAGAUGGGU
This 22-nucleotide non-coding RNA is filed under the name Mus musculus (house mouse). Lineage: Eukaryota; Metazoa; Chordata; Mammalia; Rodentia; Muridae. The record is from RNAcentral.